Molecule: RNase P RNA, 393 nt
Filed under: Alkalinema sp. CACIAM 70d
Lineage: Bacteria; Bacillati; Cyanobacteriota; Cyanophyceae; Leptolyngbyales; Leptolyngbyaceae
Description: Bacterial RNase P class A
Rfam family: Bacterial RNase P class A
About the family: Ribonuclease P (RNase P) is a ubiquitous endoribonuclease, found in archaea, bacteria and eukarya as well as chloroplasts and mitochondria. Its best characterised activity is the generation of mature 5'-ends of tRNAs by cleaving the 5'-leader elements of precursor-tRNAs. Cellular RNase Ps are ribonucleoproteins.
Source: Rfam by way of RNAcentral
AGAGCCAGCGAGGCGGUUGCGGAGGAGAUUCCCUCUGAGGAAAGUCCGGGCUCCCGAAAGACCAGACUUGCUGGGUAACGCCCAGUGCGAGCGAUCGUGAGGAUAGUGCCACAGAAACAUACCGCCCCUAGGAUCUUAAUUUUUAGGAUCUGAAAGGUAAGGGUGCAAAGGUGCGGUAAGAGCGCACCAGCAGCAUCGUGAGGUGCUGGCUCGGUAAACCCCGGUGGGGAGCAAGGCCGAUGGAACCAGGGUUGGUCUUUUUCCAGUUCCGUGCCGCAGGGGCAACUUUGCGGAGUGCCGCUUGAGGCUGUUGGUAACAACCGUCCUAGAUAGAUAACUGCCCGCGUCAGCUUGCUGAUGUGAACAGAACCCGGCUUAUGUCUGACUCUUCUC